GUCAUUGUCAAUACUUUUAACAAAAUCUAAAACACGCGCAUCGGAUCCACAGUUACGAGCAGAAAUGGAUUGGAACGACUGUAGGUUUAUCCUUCUGGUUGAGAGAGUUAGUGGAACAUGCUUUGAGUCGGCACUAGAAUAAGCAUCCGCGCAAUGCAAUGUAUUUGAAAUGAGAACCAUCGUGGCACACGACAGCAACCAAAUGCCGAUUUCUCUUUAGAUAAUAGAAAGGAACUUGCGGAAUCGUUACACUUCAAUAAACUAAUUUCUCGAGCCCUAACGAAUCACUUGUGAUGAAUAGUGAGGCACGGUUCAACUCAUUAAAUGAUCACUGUACAUGAAAAAGGCUGAAUGAAAACAUGAGUUUUUAGGAUGUUAGUAUAGCUUAGAUGAAAACGAAUAGAGGUUUAUACACUCUAUCUUGACUUACAAAAGCCAAUUUAUAAAAAUUUCUAAUUUUUAUUCAAAAUAUAUAUACAUAGAUAUAUAGUUCUAUGGGAAAUAAAUAGAAAGCAAAGUAUAAGCAUUUUGCCAUUGAUUUGAGAGGCAACAAAAAUAGUCUCAACAUUGCAAGAAUAGGAAGGGACAAUUUAAAGACCGUUUAGCGUUUUUAACGCGUAAUUGGGGAUAAUCCAUAAAAUAGACAUAAAAGAGCUACUCCAAAAGUUUUUACACUCCAAGUUCGAUAUCGCAAAGAGCAUCCACUUUUUUAAUACUAUCCUGGACGUGAUCGUAACCACCGAUGAGAUCCAAAAGACCAUGUUUUUCAAAAAUAUGAAGAACUUGCGGGUCUAAAGAUACCAAAUGAACCUCAACUUGGUGCUCGACAUACUCUUUAAGGAUACGCUGAAAGGCAAAAAGAGCACUUGAAUCUAUGGAAGAGACACCUACCAUGUCAAAAACAACGACUUCAAUGUCUUCAAUACGACGAUAAGGAGUUUCUCCAGGAUGCAUUCUUGGAUGUCCGUACUUUUCUAAACGAUUUAGUCGAUCUUCAAGCUGACUGACGUUUGCAAAAAAAAGCGGUUCAGGAAUGCGAACGACUAAGAUGCGGGGGGCACUCUCGACAGCAGUCGAAGAAGGAUUAGUUCGAUGGGAUAAAGUGGAAGCUGCAUCUUCAAGGAUAAAUUCUGCUGUACCGUUUGAAGUAGGAGAUCUAAACAUGAUGCGAGAACGGGUGGAGUGUCUUAUAAUUUGCAUCACUGUUAUGGACAAUCCAAAGAUAAUUCCAGUUUCCAAUCCAAACAUCAUAGUGCAUGUUGCGAUAGAAAAUAUAAUUCCCAAUUCCCACCACACUCUUAUGCGGGCUAACUUGAAAAUUUCCACGGCAGCGUCGGCGAACAAUGAUACACCCAAGGAAACCACCAUGGAAGCAAGCAUGCAAGUAGGUACAGUGGAGAACACAGGCAUGAUAAAGAAUGUUGCUAACAAAAUAAGUACACUACAAGCAAUAGUAGCUACCUGUGUUCGAGCACCAGACAUUAUGUUACAUUUAGUACGUAGGUACCCACCGCAAAUAGGAAGCCCACAAAAUAAACUGCUUCCUAUAUUCGCAGCCCCUAAAGAUAUCAGCUCACGAUUGGAGCGUAUUAGAUUAUUUGUCUGCAACGAAAUAGCUUUCACUGCAAUAACCGUAUCUAUGAAAGCAAGGAAUGAACACAUUACUCCAGUUUGUAAACUUUGGGUAAUAAAGUGAAGCUUAUUUUUUUCAGGUAGGGGAAGCUUAGGAAGUAGUAUUGUGGUUUUAAUUUCUCCUAAAAUGGCAAUACCGUAAUUGGAAUGCCAGUCAAACUUUUUGCUCAAAAAAGAACCUAACAAUAGUAUGAUAACUGCGUCAGGAAUCGAGACAAUUCGAGGGUAUUUAGCGGAAAGCUUGGAUUUAAGAUUUCGACAACCUAUGAGCAACGAUAUUGUAAUACAUGAAAGUAUAGUGGUAUAUAUGUUAGCUUUCGACAUGUUCCUUAUUAAAAACAUAAGUUUAUCAAUAGGAAAGUCCGAACCUUUAUAUUUGACUCCAGAAAAUCCAAAAAAUACAGAUCCUUGAUUGAUCAUAAUAAUCAUAGAUAUUGACAAUAUGCAUCCACGUAACAAUACUGGGGAUACAAGUGCAUCCAAAAAUCCCAAGCGGAACAGCCCGGCAGCUAAAUUGAUAAUUCCUGCGAUAAAGGCAAUCAAUCCAGUUACUAAAAUUGCUGUUUCUUGAGGAACAUCGGCUUUCGACAAAACGCGUUGGUGAAUGUUUUCAGCAAUAAGCAGACACAUACCAGCCUCGGGUCCGAUGGAUAUCAGCGGGCAAGCUGUAAAAAGACAAUAUAAUAUGGGGCCAAUUGCAGUACCUGUUAAAAUGUAUAUUGGGGGGACACCUAGAAACGUUUGUGCAAAUGAUAAUGCAAUAGGCACAGAGAGACAAGCAGUCGAGCAGCCAGCUAACACAUCCCAAAUGAUAUUUCUUAAGGAAUAGUUGGGAAGCCAAUGAAGGACAGGGAUAUAAUAAUUGAUUCUUCGAACCAAACUGGGUUUUUGUUGAGGAAUGUUAGCACGCUUCCAUGUGGAAGAACGUCUAGCUAAAGAUUGAUAAGAAGGAAUCUCGUGUAAGGGUCUACUGGUGCUAGUUCUGUUAUCGAUAAAGCUAGUUUUAGGGCCCAAAAGAUGGUUUUCUGAAGGAGACGACAUUGCUACAAACAGAAACCGUUUGAGGUGCAAAAGUAAUAUGUUACGAUUAAAAGCUUAGUAAUUUCAAAAAUCUACAAUACUAACGUUAAAUAAAAACCGGAUAAAUGCUCAACGUGCAACGAAACCAAAUUGAAAAUUAAAGAAAAGCGAUCAAUUUCGUCGAGUCCCACAAAUGGGAAAUAGUAAGAAAAAGUUGGAGUUUAGAAAU
Molecule: long non-coding RNA, 2881 nt
Filed under: Schizosaccharomyces pombe (fission yeast)
Lineage: Eukaryota; Fungi; Ascomycota; Schizosaccharomycetes; Schizosaccharomycetales; Schizosaccharomycetaceae
Source: RNAcentral